GAUGAAGAACUCAGCGAAACGCGAUAAGUAAUGUGAAUUUCAGAAUUCAGUGAAUCAUCGAAUCUUUGAACGCAUCUUGCGCUCCUUGGUAUUCUGAGGAGCAUGCCUGUUUGAGUGUCAUUAAUUUCUCAACUACACUGACUUUGAAUUGGUGUGGCUUGGAUUUGGGGGGAAAAUUGUUGUGGGCUUUUUGUAUAGUCUGCUCCCCUGAAAUUGAUUAGCGGUACCUUUGUGGAACUGUCUACAGGUGUGAUAAUUAUCUACAUCUUAGACAUCUGCUGGAAUGCUGCUUUCUAAACCUUACUUGUAUUGACAAUCUUGACCUCAAAUCAGGUAGGACUACCCGCUGAACUUAAGCAUAUCAAUAAGCGGAGGA
This 376-nucleotide unclassified non-coding RNA is filed under the name soil metagenome. RNAcentral describes it as "partial contains 5.8S ribosomal RNA, internal transcribed spacer 2, and large subunit ribosomal RNA". The stretch from base 1 to 120 matches the Rfam family "5.8S ribosomal RNA", at positions 35 to 154 of the family's 154-position model. The record is from RNAcentral.